Molecule: ribosomal RNA, 878 nt
Filed under: uncultured bacterium
Lineage: Bacteria
Description: bacterial SSU rRNA
Rfam family: Bacterial small subunit ribosomal RNA
Source: RNAcentral
UGGCGAACGGGUGAGUAACACGUGGGUGAUCUGCCCUGCACUUCGGGAUAAGCCUGGGAAACUGGGUCUAAUACCGGAUAGGAGCCAUUUUUAGUGUGAUGGUUGGAAAGUUUUUUCGGUGUAGGAUGAGCUCGCGGCCUAUCAGCUUGUUGGUGGGGUAAUGGCCUACCAAGGCGGCGACGGGUAGCCGGCCUGAGAGGGUGGACGGCCACAUUGGGACUGAGAUACGGCCCAGACUCCUACGGGAGGCAGCAGUGGGGAAUAUUGCACAAUGGGCGCAAGCCUGAUGCAGCGACGCCGCGUGGGGGAUGACGGCCUUCGGGUUGUAAACUCCUUUCGCUAGGGACGAAGCUUUUUGUGACGGUACCUAGAUAAGAAGCACCGGCUAACUACGUGCCAGCAGCCGCGGUAAUACGUAGGGUGCGAGCGUUGUCCGGAAUUACUGGGCGUAAAGGGCUCGUAGGUGGUUUGUCGCGUCGUCUGUGAAAUUCCGGGGCUUAACUCCGGGCGUGCAGGCGAUACGGGCAUAACUUGAGUACUGUAGGGGUAACUGGAAUUCCUGGUGUAGCGGUGAAAUGCGCAGAUAUCAGGAGGAACACCGAUGGCGAAGGCAGGUUACUGGGCAGUUACUGACGCUGAGGAGCGAAAGCAUGGGUAGCGAACAGGAUUAGAUACCCUGGUAGUCCAUGCCGUAAACGGUGGGCGCUAGGUGUGAGGGUCUUUUCACGACUUUCGUGCCGUAGCUAACGCAUUAAGCGCCCCGCCUGGGGAGUACGGCCGCAAGGCUAAAACUCAAAGGAAUUGACGGGGGCCCGCACAAGCGGCGGAGCAUGUGGAUUAAUUCGAUGCAACGCGAAGAACCUUACCUGGGCUUGACA